Molecule: transfer RNA, 70 nt
Filed under: Marmota monax (woodchuck)
Lineage: Eukaryota; Metazoa; Chordata; Mammalia; Rodentia; Sciuridae
Description: tRNA.Undet
Source: RNAcentral
GGGGUUGUGGCUCAGCGGUAGAGCAUUGCCUAGCAUGUGCAAGGCCCUGGGUUUGAUCCUCAGCACCACA